Ricinus communis (castor bean) is the source of this 216-nucleotide long non-coding RNA. RefSeq lists it as uncharacterized. NCBI's taxonomy places the organism in Eukaryota, Viridiplantae, Streptophyta, Magnoliopsida, Malpighiales, Euphorbiaceae. The record is from RefSeq and is a predicted model, not a curated record. The transcript has 3 exons.
UCACAAAUGCUCUUGAAAUAUACGACAGCUUGAGGGAUGGAGUCCAUUUCAUGGCAUCCAAUAAUGAUUGUGGUGUAAGAGAAUAUGACAUGGAGAGGUUUCAGCUCCUGAAUCACUUCCGCUUCUCUUGGCCGGUGAAUCAUACGUCAUUGAGUCCUGACCGUAGAUUAAUAGGAGUUGUUGGUGAUCACCUGGAUGGUUUGCUGGUCGAUGCAC